AGCGAGCCUUGACUGGGCUUCAUGCUGUGGAGGCCCCCAACUCCCAGAAGCAGCUGGGAUUCUGCUCACACAAGCAACUGGGCCGGCCGGCCCUGGACUCCUAGACCCUGAGCCGCCUGCCGACUGCCUGCACAGGGAGAACAGCUGAGGCCCGGGCAGGGCCCCCACACCAGACCCCAGCAUAGCUUCCCCACCCAGGCACCCCCCUUCCUGGGGCAGCAGGCAUGGGAGUCAGGGCUGCACGCUCCUCCCCUCCCACCUCACAGGCGGCCUUAGGCAAGUCAUUUUCUGUCAUCACAAGGUCGCCUCUGCCUAGUCAGGUCCUGGCGUCCAGAGUAAGGACGUGCGGCCCCCAGGCCCCCACAUCCCUCCCUCAGCUCCAAGGCCAGGACGCCCCCUCCCCGCCCCCGCCCACUCACGUGUCUCAUUGUGGCUGCCUGUGGACUCCCGGGCCUUGUGUACAGGCCUGGCCCUUCCACUGAUUUUUAAAAGUGAACCAUUGCUGGAUCUCAGAUUCUGUGGCAUCUAAGGCCUAGCAGGGGUGGGCACAGGGGUUACCCGAGGCCCAUACCAAGACUCUGUGCCUGCCCUAGGCCCAGUCUCAAAGGAAGCCACGAGGCACGGGGGCCGCUGAGGAAGGAAAUGUUCAUUUUCAUUUGUCCAAAACCACCUUAAGUUUUAAGUAUAUUAAUCUUGAUGCUUUUUAACUAUUGCUUUUUAACUUGCUGAGAUUUAGAAAUACUGUUAAAAGAAAAACUUUUUUAAUUUCUGUAUUUUUUUCUGUAUUGUAUCUUCAUGGGACAUUAGGGGUUUUCUAUGGUAAGCACACCUACGGUUUUGGUAAAAACAUCAAAUAUAUAUCCAGACGGUUCUUCCCUAGAAGAAAAACAAAUCUUUACACCUGAUAAAAUAUUUUGCAAAGAGAGGUGUUCUUUUUCCUUACUGGUGCUGAAAGGAAGGAUGGAUAAUGAGGAGAAAAUAAAACUGUGAGGCUCAA
RNA transcript from Nomascus leucogenys (northern white-cheeked gibbon), 997 nucleotides. It is a transcript of the gene named translation initiation factor IF-2-like, with no coding region annotated. Lineage: Eukaryota; Metazoa; Chordata; Mammalia; Primates; Hylobatidae. The record is from RefSeq and is a predicted model, not a curated record. The transcript has a single exon.